CAGCAGCCGCGGGAAUGCGUAGGGUGCGAGCGUUAAUCGGAAUUACUGGGCGUAAAGCGUGCGCAGGCGGCUUUGCAAGACAGAUGUGAAAUCCCCGGGCUCAACCUGGGAACUGCAUUUGUGACUGCAUGGCUAGAGUACGGUAGAGGGGGAUGGAAUUCCGCGUGUAGCAGUGAAAUGCGUAGAUAUGCGGAGGAACACCGAUGGCGAAGGCAAUCCCCUGGACCUGUACUGACGCUCAUGCACGAAAGCGUGGGGAGCAAACAGGAUUAGAUACCCGAGUAGUCCCUGUCUCUUAUAU
This 301-nucleotide ribosomal RNA is filed under the name uncultured bacterium. RNAcentral's name for it is "partial 16S ribosomal RNA". It matches the Rfam family "Bacterial small subunit ribosomal RNA", at positions 509 to 809 of the family's 1533-position model. The record is from RNAcentral.